This 253-nucleotide ribosomal RNA is filed under the name uncultured bacterium. Its description in RNAcentral is "partial 16S ribosomal RNA". It matches the Rfam family "Bacterial small subunit ribosomal RNA", at positions 524 to 776 of the family's 1533-position model. The record is from RNAcentral.
UACAGAGGUCUCAAGCGUUGUUCGGAUUCAUUGGGCGUAAAGGGUGCGUAGGCGGCGCGGUAAGUCGGGUGUGAAAUCUCGGGGCUUAACUCCGAAACUGCAUUCGAUACUGCCGUGCUUGAGGACUGGAGAGGAGACUGGAAUUUACGGUGUAGCGGUGAAAUGCGUAGAUAUCGUAAGGAAGACCAGUGGCGAAGGCGGGUCUCUGGACAGUUCCUGACGCUGAGGCACGAAGGCCAGGGGAGCAAAAGGG